RNAcentral lists this ribosomal RNA (251 nucleotides) under uncultured bacterium. RNAcentral describes it as "partial 16S ribosomal RNA". It matches the Rfam family "Bacterial small subunit ribosomal RNA", at positions 524 to 776 of the family's 1533-position model. The record is from RNAcentral.
UACGGAGGGGCUAGCGUUGUCCGAAGUUACUGGGCGUAAAGCGCGCGUAGGCGGGUUGGUAAGUCCGCUGUGAAAGCCCGGAGCUCAACUCCGGAGGUCGGUGGAUACUGCCAGUCUUGAAGGUGCUAGGGGGAGAUGGAAUUACCGGUGUAGCGGUGAAAUGCGUAGAUAUCGGUAGGAACACCAGUGGCGAAGGCGGUCUCCUGGGGCAUUCUUGACGCUGAGGCGCGAAAGCUGGGGGAGCGAACGGG